This 253-nucleotide ribosomal RNA is filed under the name uncultured prokaryote. Its description in RNAcentral is "partial 16S ribosomal RNA". It matches the Rfam family "Bacterial small subunit ribosomal RNA", at positions 524 to 776 of the family's 1533-position model. The record is from RNAcentral. RNAcentral also lists the same sequence under 1 other name.
GACAGAGGGUGCAAACGUUGUUCGGAAUGACUGGGCGUAAAGCGCGUGUAGGCGGCUCGGCAAGUCGGGUGUGAAAGCCCUGGGCUCAACCCAGGAAGUGCACUCGAAACUGCCGGGCUGGAGUCCCGGAGAGGAAGGCGGAAUUCUCGGUGUAGAGGUGAAAUUCGUAGAUAUCGAGAGGAACACCGGUGGCGAAGGCGGCCUUCUGGACGGCGACUGACGCUGAGACGCGAAAGCGUGGGGAGCAAACAGG